AUGUGUGAGGUGCUUUGAUUAUUCAAUUAGGGAUUUUUGCUUUAAUAAUAUAUUGCUAUUCUGUGCCAUGCUGCAGGAUGCUCACUAAAAUACCAUGCAAAAAUAUUAGCUGGUGCAGGGAAUAGCUGUAACUUCUGCUCAGUUUUAUGUCCUGUGGGGAGCACACUAUGAGUCAAUUCUGUGCACUGCAUUACCUGCCAACCAAUUUCUGAAUGUGCUUCUGGGACCUGAGUAGUAUCUAUGAGAAGCUGAGACCUGGCUGCCUUGGAAGUGGCUUUUUUUAUCCCUAUCUCCAUCAGGAUAGUCAUGCAGGAUGUUCUUUUUGGCUUGUUCAGGAGCUGAAAUUUGACAUACCUUGGAACAAUUUUUUUUUUUCUGUCAAUGCACCAUGCUACUUCAGAUUUUCACUUGAGCAGAAUCUUGUCUCUUGCCUUCAGGACUGGUCUCUCAGGAACAGUUGUGUUUGUCCAGGCAUCGUGCAAAACUUGCAAGGAUCUUGUUGAGAUUGGUGAUAAAUUCAGAAAAUACUAUUUUUGUCUUUUGAAGUAUAAAUGUAAAAGGCAGAUUCUAGUUGUCUGGGAGAGUGCAUCAAAAUUUAUGACCAAGUAGGCAAAGGAAGACACAGCUGGGUAAAAGGCUUGGAUUUAGUCGAAUCCACUGCUUUGUGUCAUUUUCCACCUGGAUGAAGGGAGGAGGUUGGAUCUGUUGGGCAACAGCCAUAUUCUUUUCAGCCAGUGCCUGAACCAGUGAUGGCCCAAAAGAUCAUCUGCAUUAUUCUGCACUGGCAGUGACAUGAGGGGAAUGGGACUCAGAGUCUCAUUCACUCAGGAAUUUCUGGAUCACUGUGGAAGAUUAGGUCACUUCUUUCUUGAUAAAUGUACUCUGAAAAUGUGGGAUACUGCUGGUGCAAUGCCAAAAUGUGAAGAUCAGUUCCUGAAUGGGCAAUGAAGAGCUGAAAAGCUGUGAUGGGAGAAUGACAGAAGUCAGGCAGUGUCAGAGAUCUUGUUGGUACCCUCCACUUUCAGAAGAGGAAAACUCUGACAAGUCAUGUGAAUUACUACAUCAAAAAUGCUGGCUGUUGUACUUCUUAUCUUUCCUGUGAAUUUGGGAGACAAGUGCAUUUGCAGGCAAAGUGAAGGAGUGGAAGAACUCAAAAUUACACAAUAGCCAAAAUAUUACAUAUCCACAUAUGUAUGUAAUGGAGAUCAUGUGAGAAAAACACAGAGAUCUGUGAGAAAAACACAGAGGAAAAAACACAGAGAAAAGCGACAUCUCAGAUGUCUAAAGCCCACUUGUUUUGCCACUGGUUGAAUCAUGUGACUGUGUAAGAAAGUGAAGUUUAGCCUGUUUCUAACGCAAUUAAAUGUUAAGACUCUGGGCUGAGGCUGCCUGUUAGAUUAGAUUUAUAUAGUAAUAAUGUGAUGGUAUCAGUGUCUGGUUUUGAGUGCAGAAGUGUGGCUAAAUCCACAUUGCCUAGGAGACUUGUCCCACUGAAGCAGGGAGGAUAUGCAUUAGCAUGAAGCUGUAGGGUGAAUCAGUGCUAGAGACAUGCCUAAAACUCCUGCCUGUUCCUGGUCUGACUUCCCAUACUUUCAUUUUUCUAUAUUUUAAUUUUUCCUUCUACCUGAAAGAAAGUGGUGAAGGGAGGAAGGCAGCUGAAGAUUGCAAAAAAAGGUAAUUGCAUGAAACCCCAUUGUCAGUCUGGGAUUCUACUCUAGGCAAAGGCACAUCUCAAUUUUAUUUCUAACCUUCCCCACAUAUACUUUCUGUUUUACCUGAAAACCACCUGAGAAAAUUUCUUGCUCUCAAUCUAAAUAAUGUGUGCAUCCACCAAGAGAACAGUAGCUGGAGAAAGACAUUCCAGUGCUGCCCACAUUAUUAAGAAAAAUGUCACCACAAACCACCUAACACAUUCCUUGAAUUACAAAAGCUAAAUGUACACGCCAUCUCUUAUGAAUGAACCAUUUCCUGUGUAAAUGCUAGGAAAUCCAAGAGAGAUUAGUCUGAGUAAUGGAGUUAAAGUCAAGCUAAUUUGUUUGUGAGGUUAUUGGCAAGUCAAAAAUCUCCUUCACUGUUUUGUUAGACAGAGGGCUGGAGAAAGUGUGUGUGUUAGGCUCAAAGGCAAUCAAUGUAAAUUUGUUUUUACCAAUGAAGCUGGUUCUGCUGAGUGAAAUGAGUUAUAUUCCCAGCUGUGUGGCUGAAUCUGAGCCCAGUGCAGCCAAAGGUCUGCAACAAAAUGAUUUGGCUCUGUGGAAGUAUAAGAUGAGAAAGAGUAAAGAGGGCUGCAAACAGUUCUGGAGCUGAAUUAGGAUACACUAAAUAUAGAGGGAAAAGCAGGAUUCACUUAUGCUUCUUUUCUGUGUCUGACAUGUGCCUGGCAACCUAGGAAAUUAUGAUCAGACCUGUGAGAAAACAAUCCUCCUUUUGGAGUUUUUUAAUUUAAAAAAAUGUUAAUGUCUCUAGAGCUGCUUUUCUUCAGCUACCCAUUCUGUCCUUUCUUACAUUUGCCUUCCCUUCAGACGCUAUUGCCCUUGCCUGUUUUCUGCCACUCUUUAAAACAUUUAUUUCUCCAUGCUCUUUCCACCCACUGCAUUCUUCCCAUGGGCAGUCAGUCCCCCCUGUCCCCAUCUCUCCUCUCUGCUUUCCUAGCUGUCUUCUCCUGCCCCUUUCCCUCAUGGCAGCUGAGAUUGGAGAGCAAAAUCAUUGAAUCAUCCAUCCCACAGAACCUCCUUGUAGCUUUUCUGUUGACUUUGGUAAUUGUGAGUGGCAAUAAUUCAAUGAGAUGUGAGACAUAGGAUGAGAGAACCUGUGGUUUUUCAUCCUUCUUGCCUGCUAAAAUGUCCCUUAUAUAACUUCAGCUUUACACAUAGCUAAUAGGGUUUUCCACCUUAAAUUUUAAAUUCACUUGGAAAAGAAGUUUAUUUGUUAAAUGAAAUUUCUGAAGCAAUAUGCAACCUUUUAUUUCGAGUGAAAACAUAUUAUUAGUUAUGGCUUUCACUUUUAAAAAGCUGAAAAAUAAGUGUAUGUAAUUGGAGAGUUGGACAACUGGGAGAGGACUCAUCUGAGCAGUAGAAGGUGGCUCUGGUAGAUCUUCAUUUGAGAUCUUUGUAGACUCAUACCACAGGCAGUGGAGAGAAACAGUAAUUUUAAUCAAUAAUUAUUGAUCUUAAAAUAGGUCCAAGGAGCCACACCUUAAAUGUACCUGUUUCUUUCCAUUAACUAUAACGCAAACCUGGAGUGACUAGCUCUGAGGUUGACGCCUACAGUGUGGAUGUCUAAAGUUAGGCAAAAUUAAUCCCACUCUGUCAUCUUAAACACUCAUCAUAACAUGUAAUUUAUUUUCCUUUCUUUAAAAAUAAAAUUCCAAAGCAGAACAACAUUUUGAGAUGAAAUGAAAAAAUAUUUCAGCUUGAAAUUUUCAACAAAAAGAUUGUGUUGAAGUUUUAUAAUUGUCUCAAAUGUUCGUGUUAAAUUCUUUAAAGUUCAGUCUUGACAAGAGUACAUUUUAUGAAGAAAGCUUUUUAAAUGAAGAAUGUCACCUGAUUCUCCCUGUCACAAAAUAGAGUGUUCCAUCCUACUUGUUCCUGGGCAUUUGCAUUAACACAGCUUCAUUGGGUCCAAUUUGUGUCAGAAGGGGCAAUUUCAUGUCCAAGUCACAAGGACCUGGGCUAAGAACUGCCACUCAAUUUCACGUGUAUUUCGUUCUGUUGUCAGGUGGCAAUAACUUCUGGUCACUAUUGAACUGGACUUAGUUUGCACCAGUGGCCUAGAAGACAAAAUAAAAUUUAUUACCAGUUCUUUAAUCUAUCCAGUUCAGCAAAAUAGCCUUGUAUCAAAAUAUAUCAUUUACUUCCAUAUACCUACCUGGCAGGAGGGUAACUAUAACAAACCACCUUCAAGAGCAGUAGGAUGUAGUAAUAUGGAGCAAUUUAAGCAUAAUGGAGCUUAGAGCUUUCCAAUACUGGGAGAUGGCAGGUUUUGGAAGGUAAGAUAUAAAGUCAGGAACAAUUCUGUCUUAUCCUUAGCCAGCAAUCACUGUCUGUGAACAUCCUACCUGUUCAUGUUUGCUGGCUCAAGGGGGAUUUUCAGAGCACUUUUAACCUGCAUUAAAAUUGUUUUAGACUUUGAAGAGGCCUAAGGUAGUUUUCUUCUGCCUGCAGUGACUUUCUUUUCCAUGUCAUAAAAUUAUAUGACUGAUAGAAGGGUAAUUUCUGAAUUUCAGCCUACAUCCUUCACCUUGGCCUGUAGUAAACCUGAAAAGUAUAUCCUGGUGUGGGGAGCCACUGUAACUAUUCACUAACCUAUGUGCUCCUUUUACAUUUGCCCAUUAACACCUUCACCAUUUGUCUUUCCCAGGUCAGACUGAAUGAGCUGAAAGAAAUCAAUGUCUCUUUGUAAGUGCUGAAUAUUUUUUCCCCAGUAAAGUACUUCUCUAAAAAGUGGUUGUGUUGAACAACAGGGAAGUUGAGAUUUGUCGCCACUAAGGUCAAUAACAAAUUCCCCAUUGCAUCAGUCAUUCACUUUCUGUCACUUCACAUAGUACCAGCCCAGGUGGUUUUUCAUUCAUCUCUUUCAUGUGAUUUUUCUCAACUAUUUGUCUCUGACAAAAUUUUGGCAUGCAGUCCUUUAUGACCAAAUGAUAAUUCCAAACCAGGAAAUUCUAUUUUGUUAGAGGGGUUCAAUCUCUCUGGUGAGCAACUGAAAUAAGCAUCUUAAACUUUCUUCCUGCCCAGAGACAACAAAAAUGCAUUCAGCUCCUGUGAGCUGAAUUUAGAACACCUAAAUGCAUGAAACGUAACAAAAAGUGCAGCACAGUCAUGAGGCUGUUUAGUCCUGGGGAAGACAAUUCAAGGGUAAGUUCUGUUGGUACCUAUGGUACAAGGUACUUAUGGCUGCCUCUGUUGGUACAAGGUACUUUUGGCUGUCUGGCAACUAUAUUUUAAUUUCUGAGACUUCUGCGUCACUUAUACUUUCUAUACAUUUCUGUUCCUCCAGAAGAGUUGACACCAACAAAUGAGGAUUUUCUUUGAUGGCUAUUAUUUUGUCUGCAUGGUUGAAAGAAAAUCUGGAUAUUUCUUCAUGCCUUUUUGGAUGCCCUAUUGUGGUUGACUCAGGUUUUUCAAUGCCCUAAGUUCAGAAAUGUUUCCAAAACUGAAAACACAGGCAUGAGGAGUCAAAUCUUGUAUUCAUGUUCUCUUAUUUUGGACAUUUGAGAUGUAGUUGAAGAUGGCCAGACUUGUACAGUGUGAAAGGCUUCAGAGACACUGAAUUUUUCGGUGAGGAGGCAGCUGAGGAGGCAGCUCAUUAAUCCACUCAUUGACACUCAGAAUAUCAGCAAUGUACUUAACAAUAUAUAGAAGUGUGAACAGCCUUUCACACCCUUUGAAAAACAGGUUCACUAGCCCAUGCCAUUGUCUCAUAACUGCAAAAGGGCUCUCAAAGCAUGAAAAUGUAUUUUGAGGCCAUCUCACAGAAGCACAGUACCCAGAUUAGAGCAGCUAUCUGUUAAUCUCUGAGAAAUAUCUUGUUCAAAGGGCCUAAGUGACUGGGGAUGGCCUUAGGAGCUGAUUUCAGGAAGCUCUGCAUAAUAUCAGAGUUUUUUUUUAACAAUCCCUAGUCCACCAUAUACAAAAAUCUCAGGAACCCACCCCUCCAAAAGUAGCAGGAGUUUUUAGCAAAUAUGGCCUUUGCAUGAAAACAUUACAUUUGAAGGUGGCAGGCUUUUUAAAAGCUCGCUCCCUUGUUCAUUUCCUGUUGUCAAAUUUGUUUUUCACCCCUUGAGCUCUGCUAGGUGAGUUCAUCUUCAGAGAUGAAGAUAAUAUGGCAGAAAUACCACUGAUCUUGCUCACAGUCACCUUGGAUUUUUCCCUUUUUUUCCUGUGAAAGGUUAGUUGUUCUACUUAGUUCCUCUGUUUAUUUAUUCCCUUAGUUUAUUUAUUUACUUCUGGCCCUGAGCUGUUAUUGAAAUUAGACUCAUUGCAACAACAUAAUGUGUAGACUGUUUGCUGACUGUGUCAGAUCAAGCUUUAAAAUAUUUUAUGUGUGCUGAAAGGGCACACACACUGCCAGUAAAUGUAUAGACCAUUCUUUGGCCCAGCUCCUGCUAUGUAUCACAAAUCUCAGAAAUGUGCUCAUUACUUUGUCUUAGCUGUAAAAAUAUUUCUACUGCACUGCAGUUAAGGUAUACUGUUAUUUGCAGUUGUUUUUUAGAAUUUUUACAUGUUCUUUCCCAUCCCUUUACUCCUACAUUUGUGGAAAUACAAUAAUGCCAUUUGAUCCCCACAAUGCUCUGUAGCUGAAUUUUCAGCCAAGGUUCACAGUCUGUUUAACACCAUACAAUCUGUGAAAAUGAAGAUUUAUUCUUGCCUAACCAUGGUUUAUGAUUUUUGCCAAUGUCUGGGUUAAUACAUCAUUCAUGAACUUAUGUACACUUGUUUCUAUUGUGCCUGUAAUUUGCAGCUUUUCAUUAUUUAGUGUGAAUUUGUAGCCCAUAAAUAGAUUGGUGGUACGUUUCUUAUAAAGAUUUUUUGAAUCACAUAUUACAUGAUUGAUUAUAUAACAUAUUGCUGUACUAUUGUUUAUACUUCAUUAUUGGCUGUUCCUUUGGAUUUAAAUAAAAAUUGCCAGCUCCAAGCUGAUUAGUCUCCCAAUAAGAAAUACUAACUCAAGUAUUUUUCAUUUUGUUUCAUGUGUUCAUUACAAGAAUGUAAAGAGUGUGUGGGAUUAAAAUACUGCUACUUUGUAUGGUCAUGAUCAAUGCAAGCAAUGUGUUAUAAUGGGAAAAAUAAAAGAAAACAAAACAACCCUCAACAACCCUUAGGCAGCAGUCUAUGGGAAUGUUUUAAAAACCCUUUCCACACCUGAGAUUUUUCCAUGGAUAGGUGCUUACAGUAUGGGAGAAAUGCAUUAUUGGAAGUAGAUACAUAAAGAUCCUUUGUCUGCAUGUGUCUGGUGAAAUUCCCUUAUAUGUAGAAGAUAAGCCCAGAGCUAUUCCUCAUGCACUGAACUUUAAGUGAUGGAAAAGUCUGUACAUACAACUUACAUAUGAAUAUCAAUUUUGUCUAUAAAUAGAGGCAUUGAUGCAAACCUUUACUUGAAAUUCUUUCAGCAUGGUAGAUCUUGUCUUGAGGAUUUCUAGCAUUGUGGUUUGGGUAUGGCAUCUUGUGUGAACAAUUAUUCUAGCUUAUUGCUCUGUCCGCUAUAUGGCUGUUUUUAAUUGUAUCUUUAAAAGGAUUGAUUCCUGUAAUAAAACUGAGUUGGAAUACUGA
Molecule: non-coding RNA, 7268 nt
Organism: Taeniopygia guttata (zebra finch)
Lineage: Eukaryota; Metazoa; Chordata; Aves; Passeriformes; Estrildidae
Source: RefSeq, a predicted model, not a curated record